This 253-nucleotide ribosomal RNA is filed under the name uncultured bacterium. Its description in RNAcentral is "partial 16S ribosomal RNA". It matches the Rfam family "Bacterial small subunit ribosomal RNA", at positions 524 to 776 of the family's 1533-position model. The record is from RNAcentral.
UACGUAGGCAGCGAGCGUUGUUCGGAGUUACUGGGCGUAAAGAGUGCGUAGGCGGUUUUCUAAGUUUGGUGUGAAAUCUCCCGGCUCAACUGGGAGGGUGCGCCGAAGACUGGAAGGCUUGAGUAUGGGAGAGGUAAGCGGAAUUCCUGGUGUAGCGGUGAAAUGCGUAGAUAUCGAGAGGAACACCUGCGGCGAAGGCGGGUUGCUGGGCUGAUACUGACGCUGAGGCGCGAAAGCCAGGGGAGCGAACGGG